Molecule: long non-coding RNA, 1133 nt
Filed under: Anser brachyrhynchus (Pink-footed goose)
Lineage: Eukaryota; Metazoa; Chordata; Aves; Anseriformes; Anatidae
Description: lncRNA (ENSABRG00000010166.1)
Source: RNAcentral
AAGUCAAAGAAUGUGUAAAAACCCUACUGGUUGUGACCUAGAUGGUAAGGAAGCAAAGGACUGGCACUUGAGGAUAUGUUGACACUGAUUUAUCACUCUGCAGAUGAUGGCCAAUCUUCUCAAAAGUUACUAAUGACAUUGUGUGCCUCUGUUUCUAGCAACUCAUGAUCCAGGCUUGCAGAGCGCUCUGUGCCUGGGGUUUGCUAAAGAGCCGCAGAUGUGCAGGUGUCCCUCCCACAGCCAUUGCUUGUCUAUGGGCAGCCUCAGUCCCCAGAGAGGAGGGAUGACGGACCUCCUCAGCAGCUGAGGGUGGUUUAAUCCUUCCUGAGAUUGCUCACUAAGCAGCUGCUGGCCUGAAUCUCUGCUGCUGGUCACACACAGGUAGAGGCCUGGCAUGGCAUAGGAAUUUUUACAUUUCUUAAUACCUUUCUGCAUGACCCUCAGAUUACCGAGGGGCACACGAAACCAUUACCAAUAACAUUAAUAACAACGGGAGCAGCCAUCCCCCAGCAAACUGCAGCAUUGCCCAGGUAUUUCUGCAGAAAGCUGUUUCCAGCUGCAGGGGCGAGGGUAGCCACAGCCCCCCCCAAACACGCACACGCUGCCCCUUGCUGCCUGUGCCAUGUGCCUUUCCAGGUCUGCCAGCAGGCCCUGCUCAUGCUGGAUGGCCAAAAUGUGGAAGAUUUAGCUCUCCCCUUCCAGAAAGUGCGGGCUAGCCAGCAAGCGUGCGUAAACACCUCUCAGAAAACCCACCCCCUGGAAGUGCUCCAUCUUGCCGUGAUCAAUGAGCUGCAAUGUGGUCAAAAGGGAAUGCUAUUGGAAAACAGACACCCACUGGGACAGCAGUCACUUCUUCAGCAGGCAGGAGAUGCGUGCUCAAGAGCAUCCCUGGGCCAUCCCCAUCACAGCACUGACUUCCCUGCAGUUUGCACAUCGCCCCUUCCUGGGAAAUGUGCUGUGCCAAAGCUUGUCCUGCUCGUUGCCUCAGCGCUCACCAGCCUCUCUUGACACCUCUCAGCCUUUAGGAUGUGGUGCAGCUUUCCUGAGAGAAAAUGAAACUCUUACUAUUUACCUAUUUUGAUGCCUUCCUUCCUGAAGACCUGCUUCUGUCACGUUGCCUCCAGGAAAUCCAA